Molecule: ribosomal RNA, 460 nt
Filed under: uncultured bacterium
Lineage: Bacteria
Description: partial 16S ribosomal RNA
Rfam family: Bacterial small subunit ribosomal RNA
Source: RNAcentral
CCUACGGGCGGCAGCAGUGAGGAAUAUUGGUCAAUGGACGAGAGUCUGAACCAGCCAAGUAGCGUGAAGGAUGACUGCCCUAUGGGUUGUAAACUUCUUUUAUAUGGGAAUAAAAUGUUCCACGUGUGGGAUUUUGUAUGUACCAUAUGAAUAAGGAUCGGCUAACUCCGUGCCAGCAGCCGCGGUAAUACGGAGGAUCCGAGCGUUAUCCGGAUUUAUUGGGUUUAAAGGGAGCGUAGGUGGAUUGUUAAGUCAGUUGUGAAAGUUUGCGGCUCAACCGGAAAAUUGCAGUUGAAACUGGCAGUCUUGAGUGCAGUAGAGGUGGGCGGAAUGCGUGGUGUAGCGGUGAAAUGCUUAGAUAUCACGAAGAACUCCGGUUGCGAAGGCAGUUCACUGGACGGCAACUGACACUGAGGCUCGAAAGUGUGGGUAUCAAACAGGAUUAGAUACCCGAGUAGUC